CCUACGGGGGGCAGCAGUGGGGAAUUUUGGACAAUGGACGAAAGUCUGAUCCAGCAAUGCCGCGUGCAGGACGAAGGCCUUCGGGUUGUAAACUGCUUUUGUACGGAACGAAACGGUCUUCUUUAAUACAGAGGGCUAAUGACGGUACCGUAAGAAUAAGCACCGGCUAACUACGUGCCAGCAGCCGCGGUAAUACGUAGGGUGCGAGCGUUAAUCGGAAUUACUGGGCGUAAAGCGUGCGCAGGCGGUUAUAUAAGUCAGAUGUGAAAUCCCCGGGCUCAACCUGGGACCUGCAUUUGAGACUGUAUAGCUAGAGUACGGUAGAGGGGGAUGGAAUUCCGCGUGUAGCAGUGAAAUGCGUAGAUAUGCGGAGGAACACCGAUGGCGAAGGCAAUCCCCUGGACCUGUACUGACGCUCAUGCACGAAAGCGUGGGGAGCAAACAGGAUUAGAUACCCCAGUAGUC
RNAcentral lists this ribosomal RNA (465 nucleotides) under uncultured bacterium. RNAcentral describes it as "bacterial SSU rRNA". It matches the Rfam family "Bacterial small subunit ribosomal RNA", at positions 338 to 795 of the family's 1533-position model. The record is from RNAcentral.